UACGUAGGUGGCAAGCGUUGUCCGGAUUUAUUGGGCGUAAAGCGAGCGCAGGCGGUUUCUUAAGUCUGAUGUGAAAGCCCCCGGCUCAACCGGGGAGGGUCAUUGGAAACUGGGAGACUUGAGUGCAGAAGAGGAGAGUGGAAUUCCAUGUGUAGCGGUGAAAUGCGUAGAUAUAUGGAGGAACACCAGUGGCGAAGGCGGCUCUCUGGUCUGUAACUGACGCUGAGGCUCGAAAGCGUGGGGAGCAAACAGGAUUAGAU
This 260-nucleotide ribosomal RNA is filed under the name uncultured Enterococcaceae bacterium. Its description in RNAcentral is "partial 16S ribosomal RNA". It matches the Rfam family "Bacterial small subunit ribosomal RNA", at positions 524 to 783 of the family's 1533-position model. Lineage: Bacteria; Bacillati; Bacillota; Bacilli; Lactobacillales; Enterococcaceae. The record is from RNAcentral.